This 120-nucleotide ribosomal RNA is filed under the name uncultured eukaryote. Its description in RNAcentral is "partial small subunit ribosomal RNA". The record is from RNAcentral.
GUCGGUUGUACCGGAAGUCGGUGCGCCAACCCGCAAGGGGGGUAGCURCCCCCAUGGUAUGGCUGGCAAUUGGGGUGAAGUCGUAACAAGGUAGCUGUAGGUGAACCUGCAGAAGGAUCA